RNAcentral lists this transfer RNA (73 nucleotides) under Bos taurus (domestic cattle). It matches the Rfam family "tRNA". From Rfam's summary of the family: Transfer RNA (tRNA) molecules are approximately 80 nucleotides in length. Their secondary structure includes four short double-helical elements and three loops (D, anti-codon, and T loops). Lineage: Eukaryota; Metazoa; Chordata; Mammalia; Artiodactyla; Bovidae. The record is from Rfam by way of RNAcentral. RNAcentral also lists the same sequence under 3 other names.
UCCCUGGAGGUCCAGUGGUUAGGACUCUGAGCUUCCAAUGCAUGGCGCACAGGUUCAAUCCCUGUUCAGGGAA